UACAGAGGGUGCGAGCGUUAAUCGGAUUUACUGGGCGUAAAGGGCGCGUAGGCGGUCUAAUAGGUGUGAUGUGAAAGCCCUGGGCUUAACCUAGGAAGUGCAUCGCAAACGAUUAGACUGGAGUAGAUGAGAGGGUGGCGGAAUUUCCGGUGUAGCGGUGAAAUGCGUAGAGAUCGGAAGGAACGUCGAUGGCGAAGGCAGCCACCUGGCAUCAUACUGACGCUGAGGCGCGAAAGCGUGGGGAGCGAACAGG
RNAcentral lists this ribosomal RNA (253 nucleotides) under uncultured Aquicella sp. RNAcentral describes it as "partial 16S ribosomal RNA". It matches the Rfam family "Bacterial small subunit ribosomal RNA", at positions 524 to 776 of the family's 1533-position model. The record is from RNAcentral. Lineage: Bacteria; Pseudomonadati; Pseudomonadota; Gammaproteobacteria; Legionellales; Coxiellaceae.